CCUACGGGAGGCAGCAGUGGGGAAUAUUGGACAAUGGGCGAAAGCCUGAUCCAGCAAUGCCGCGUGAGUGAUGAAGGCCUUAGGGUUGUAAAGCUCUUUUACCAGGGAUGAUAAUGACAGUACCUGGAGAAUAAGCUCCGGCUAACUCCGUGCCAGCAGCCGCGGUAAUACGGAGGGAGCUAGCGUUGUUCGGAAUUACUGGGCGUAAAGCGUACGUAGGCGGUUAUUCAAGUCAGAGGUGAAAGCCUGGAGCUCAACUCCAGAACUGCCUUUGAAACUAGAUAGCUAGAAUCUUGGAGAGGUGAGUGGAAUUCCGAGUGUAGAGGUGAAAUUCGUAGAUAUUCGGAAGAACACCAGUGGCGAAGGCGACUCACUGGACAAGUAUUGACGCUGAGGUACGAAAGCGUGGGGAGCAAACAGGAUUAGAUACCCUGGUAGUCCACGCCGUAAACGAUGAUAACUAAGCUGUUCGGGCUCUACGAGCUUGAGUGGCGCAGCUAACGCAUUAAGUUAUCCGCCUGGGGAGUACGGUCGCAAGAUUAAAACUCAAAAGGAAUUGACGG
Molecule: ribosomal RNA, 563 nt
Filed under: uncultured bacterium
Lineage: Bacteria
Description: bacterial SSU rRNA
Rfam family: Bacterial small subunit ribosomal RNA
Source: RNAcentral